GCGGAUAUGGUGUAACGCUAGCAUCUGAGCCUUCCAAGCUUUAGGUACGAGUUCAAAUCUCGUUGUCCGCU
This is a transfer RNA of Microcoleus sp., 71 nucleotides long. It matches the Rfam family "tRNA". From Rfam's summary of the family: Transfer RNA (tRNA) molecules are approximately 80 nucleotides in length. Their secondary structure includes four short double-helical elements and three loops (D, anti-codon, and T loops). NCBI's taxonomy places the organism in Bacteria, Bacillati, Cyanobacteriota, Cyanophyceae, Oscillatoriales, Microcoleaceae. The record is from Rfam.